RNAcentral lists this long non-coding RNA (1944 nucleotides) under Nicotiana benthamiana. RNAcentral describes it as "long non-coding RNA (NBEN_LNC006351)". The record is from RNAcentral. Lineage: Eukaryota; Viridiplantae; Streptophyta; Magnoliopsida; Solanales; Solanaceae.
AAUAAAGGGUUUGGGAGGGUUAGUAAUUUCAAGAGGGUUUCAAGGCAGUUUAGGUAUGAAAAAGGGUAGUUCUUUUAAAAUUGGUGAAUUUAAAACAAAGUCAAGGAUAAUAUAGGCAUUGCAUAGGCAAAAGAACACUCUAGAACCCUCUAGAUGGGGGUACAAGUGGAAUUUCAGUAAUUUUAGAUAGUUAUUUGAAUGACAAGUUAGAAAAAUAAAGGAUUAAAAAGAAAUAAAAGAGGGACUAAUAGUGCAAACUGAAAAUCUGAGGGCUGCCCCAUCUUUUUCAAUAUAAAGCAGCCCCAAUGCCUUAAUCAACAAGUUUGGAACCCAUAAAAAUUUCCCCCAAAAGUCUCUACAAUGGGAGCAGAUCUGAAUUUGAAUUCAAAAUUCAAAGUUCUUCCAGAUUUUAGUUCAUAUCUAUAGAAAAUAGAAAUAAAAAAUAGAAAAUCUCUAAAAAAACCCAAAAACAAACUAUUUCAUUGCUUGUUUAUUAGGUUGCUUUCAAAUUUCAGCUUUCAUACAAUUUUUGGCUAAUUUAGGAUAAAAAAAAUAGUUGGAAUUCUCUCAAUACUUGAAGUGUGGGAGUAUUUGACACUGCCUGGGCAUUGUUUGGUUUAAUCGAGCUAGUUUUGGGUGUUAUUCAUCAAACGUGUGGAUUGCUGGCUUAUUUCUGGCUAUUUGGUGUGAUUAUGUUUGGAUAUGUUUGAUUUUUCUUGGGUUUAAAUCAUUUCUGGACUGUUAAUUGCUCCUGAUAGUUGGUUACAGUUGCUGAUCUUUUCCUUCUUCUUACUGUAUUUCGACAUCCAGGUAUGUUCCCAGAUUCAAGGUGCUGGAACCAAACUAAUAUGUAGAAAAUCAUUUGAAAUUGAUUAAAGAAUAAUUGAAGCUUGAACUGUUGAUUCGCUGUGACUGCAUUUCUGCAGAUUUGCUCAUAUUUUGUUUAGUUUGUUUUUUUCUCGUGUGGUUGAUUAAUUUGGAUUGGAAUUUCAGUAGUGUAUAUCUGGACAGUUAAGAUCGUUUGGAAAAAAAUUGAUUUCCUUUUCUCGAUUACCUAAAGUGUUACGUUUAAAUAAGUCUAGAUCUGAAUCAUUUGAGAUUGUCAUUCGUAUUGCUAUGUGAUAGUUUGAAUUAAGAAAUGCAGAACAGUCUACAGUCACGUUGAAAUGAGAUUGUGAGCAGCAGUAUAUCUGAUGAUGUGUUGACAGCAGUAUAAAGUGUCAUUCGUAUUGCUAUGAUAAUUGUUAGGUUGAUGCAUUAGCUUGUUUAGUACUGAUUGAGAUUUUUCCCUUGGUUUUAAUGCAAAAAUGAAGUUAAACUUAAAGAAUGAUUGCAGAACCUUGUAACAUGUAUUAUUUCACUAAAUUCUGAAAGGCGUAUCAAUAACAUGAUGGCGUCCGGUCGCGAGGCUGGGCAAGCCCGACCAAACCACAACCAAGAAUGGUAUUCCAGCCAAAAAGAAAACAAUUUAAGGUAACGCAACAAAUUUCACAUCAACUCUCCACCAGGGGUAGACAAUACCAAUGAAAAUACAACUGAUGAAGAACAAUAAUCCUCCCAAAACUGAGGAGUCACGAGUACAGAGCCUCUAACAAGACGAGAUACAAGUCUGAACAGUAAUGGUACCAAAGUCUGACAAAAUAGCAAAAAAAAAAAAGAACAGACUGAUAGAGACAGAGUAAGUGGUCCUGCGGACAGUGGGCAACUACCUCAAUACUCUGUAAAGCUCGGGUAAUCAACAACAACAACACUAGGUCUCUGGAGCACCUGGAUCUGCACACAAGGUACAUGGAGUAUGGGUUGAGUCUACCAACUCAGUGAGUAAUAGAAAUAAAUAAUAACUGAAUGUAAGAAAUCCGGUAGAAGUACUAUACAAUUCUAUGCAACAACAAGAACAGUAAAUAAGUACCAAACAGAGGGAAGAAUCUGAUAAAAUACUUUCCU